ACGAACGCUGGCGGCGUGCUUAACACAUGCAAGUCGAACGGAAAGGCCUGCUUUCCCUUGUGGAUUGCGGGUACUCGAGUGGCGAACGGGGGAGUAACACGUGAGUGAUCUGCCCCCAACUUGGGUAUAAGCCUGGGAAACUGGGUCUAAUUCCCGAUAGGACUGCAGGGUGGUGCCUGUGGUGGAAAACGAUUUUCUAGUGGUUGGGGAUGAGCUCGCGGCCUAUCAGCUUGUUGGUGGGGUAAUGGCCUACCAAGGCGGCGACGGGUAGCCGGCCUGAGAGGGUGGACGGCCACAUUGGGACUGAGAUACGGCCCAGACUCCUACGGGAGGCAGCAGUGGGGAAUAUUGCACAAUGGGCGGAAGCCUGAUGCAGCGACGCCGCGUGGGGGAUGACGGCCUUCGGGUUGUAAACUCCUUUCGACCGCGAGGAAGCCACCUGGUUGGAAGGGUGGUGACGGUAGUGGUAGAAGAAGCACCGGCUAACUACGUG
This 493-nucleotide ribosomal RNA is filed under the name uncultured bacterium. Its description in RNAcentral is "partial 16S ribosomal RNA". It matches the Rfam family "Bacterial small subunit ribosomal RNA", at positions 29 to 507 of the family's 1533-position model. The record is from RNAcentral.